This 76-nucleotide transfer RNA is filed under the name Paracoccaceae bacterium. RNAcentral's name for it is "tRNA-Glu". It matches the Rfam family "tRNA". Rfam says of the family: Transfer RNA (tRNA) molecules are approximately 80 nucleotides in length. Their secondary structure includes four short double-helical elements and three loops (D, anti-codon, and T loops). The record is from RNAcentral. Lineage: Bacteria; Pseudomonadati; Pseudomonadota; Alphaproteobacteria; Rhodobacterales; Paracoccaceae. RNAcentral also lists the same sequence under 4 other names.
GUCCCCAUCGUCUAGAGGCCUAGGACACCUGGUUUUCAUCCAGGCAACAGGGGUUCGAAACCCCUUGGGGACGCCA